Molecule: ribosomal RNA, 500 nt
Filed under: uncultured bacterium
Lineage: Bacteria
Description: partial 16S ribosomal RNA
Rfam family: Bacterial small subunit ribosomal RNA
Source: RNAcentral
AUUGAACGCUGGCGGAAUGCUUUACACAUGCAAGUCGAACGGCAGCACGGACUUCGGUCUGGUGGCGAGUGGCGAACGGGUGAGUAAUGUAUCGGAACGUGCCCAGUCGUGGGGGAUAACGUAGUGAAAAUUACGCUAAUACCGCAUACGAUCUAUGGAUGAAAGCGGGGGAUCGCAAGACCUCGCGCGAUUGGAGCGGCCGAUAUCAGAUUAGGUAGUUGGUGGGGUAAAGGCCCACCAAGCCAACGAUCGGUAGCUGGUCUGAGAGGACGACCAGCCAGACUGGAACUGAGACACGGUCCAGACUCCUACGGGAGGCAGCAGUGGGGAAUUUUGGACAAUGGGCGAAAGCCUGAUCCAGGCAUUCCGCGUGCAGGAUGAAGGCCCUCGGGUUGUAAACUGCUUUUGUACAGAACGAAAAGGUUUCUACUAAUACUAGGAGCUCAUGACGGUACUGUAAGAAUAAGCACCGGCUAACUACGUGCCAGCCGCCGCGGUAA